RNAcentral lists this small nuclear RNA (117 nucleotides) under Phascolarctos cinereus (koala). RNAcentral's name for it is "U5 spliceosomal RNA (ENSPCIG00000037276.1)". It matches the Rfam family "U5 spliceosomal RNA". Rfam says of the family: U5 RNA is a component of both types of known spliceosome. The precise function of this molecule is unknown, though it is known that the 5' loop is required for splice site selection and p220 binding, and that both the 3' stem-loop and the Sm site are important for Sm protein binding and cap methylation. The record is from Rfam by way of RNAcentral. Lineage: Eukaryota; Metazoa; Chordata; Mammalia; Diprotodontia; Phascolarctidae.
AUACUCUGGUUUUCUCUUCAUAUCGUAUAAAUCUUUCGCCUUUUACUAAAGAUUUCCGUGGAGAGGAACAGGUAAGAGUUAUCAACUAAUUUUUUGAGGCCUUAAAAAAAUAAGGCC